This is a long non-coding RNA of Ictalurus punctatus (channel catfish), 369 nucleotides long. NCBI's taxonomy places the organism in Eukaryota, Metazoa, Chordata, Actinopteri, Siluriformes, Ictaluridae. The record is from Ensembl.
CUGAAGUUGGAGAGUUAUUUUCCUGGGCAGUUGGUGGAGUUUUCCAUCAAUACCUGUUGUAUAUUCAGGAAGGAGAAUUUAGGGGACCCUUUUGACACACUGAGUGUUGGUGACACCACUGACACACACUAAAGGGAAAGCAAGUGUCAGUGUGCACACAGUUCUACCUGACCACUUGGGCCAAGGAGAAAUAGAUCAAGGCUCUCUGGCUCAGUGCCACUAGGUUGGCAGGCUCUAUAUCAAGUGGGGUUGGCUCGCCAUCCAGUACUGGAACAGUUUCUCCAAGGAUCUCCAGAAUCUCCACCGCUGUUUCGGACUUCACCAGUAACCGCGACCACUCAACAUCUGAAUCCAACAAUAAAACCUGAC